Helianthus annuus (common sunflower) is the source of this 200-nucleotide long non-coding RNA. RefSeq lists it as uncharacterized. The transcript has 2 exons. The record is from RefSeq and is a predicted model, not a curated record. NCBI's taxonomy places the organism in Eukaryota, Viridiplantae, Streptophyta, Magnoliopsida, Asterales, Asteraceae.
GUUUGGAUUGAGGGUUUCACUGAUGCAGAGCUCAAGAAUGCUUACAAGAAGCUUUCACUGAGAUGGAACCUAGAUUGUUGUUCUGAAUUAGGAAACUUAAACAUGUGGAAGAAGCAAAGAAUAAGUUUCAGGCAAUACAAGAAGCCUAUUCUGGUAAUUAAUGUAUUUGGUUUUGUUAAUAAAGGUGUUAUCUUGAAUGA